This is a long non-coding RNA of Drosophila miranda, 708 nucleotides long. RefSeq lists it as uncharacterized. The record is from RefSeq and is a predicted model, not a curated record. NCBI's taxonomy places the organism in Eukaryota, Metazoa, Arthropoda, Insecta, Diptera, Drosophilidae. The transcript has 4 exons.
GUUUUCCAGCAAAAUGGGAUCUGAAAAGUGAUAAUUUGUCUCGCUCUCACUGCAUGCUUUUCGCGUAAGACUGUCUCUGUUUUUGCAGCUAGUCAGUUUCUCAGAUCCGGGCUUAGCCUGAAGUGCAGUAGAAUACCACAAGUAACAGGUGCGUGUUAUCGUCAUCACUAAUGCCUCCAACGUGGAUUUGUUGUUUUGUUUAUGCCGAUUGAUUAAAAUUGAUAUGAUUGAAUUGAGAUGAAUGUUUUGACGAAACGCACCUUUAUGAGCCAGUAUCAGUAAAUUAUCAAUUGUACCUCCGCAGAGUGAGUUCCGUGUUAAAUAAAGAUGUGAAGCAGUAUUGAAAGCAAUACAUGUUUGAUACGAACGAUGAUUCCGCUUGGAGCUCAGCUGAGGGAACCAAUCAAUGGAUAAUAUUGACGCUGGAUGAGCCACGCACUGUCAGUGGAGUGAGCUUGCAAUUUCAGGGUGGAUUUGCUGGUAAGCAGUUUACGGCUUUGGUGUAUUCGUGUGAAGGAGAUCCCACUUACCAAGAGACAUUUUAUCCCGAAGACAUCAACUCUCCUCAGCGUUUUUACUUUAAGGAUGUAUCUCUUACAAAAAGUUGUUCGAAGAUAAAGUUUGUAUUUGAGUCUAGUUCAGAUCUGUUUGGCAGAAUCAUUGUUUAUAAUCUUCAAAUACUAAGCUAAUUAUUUAAAUAAAUUACAA